UGAACGCUGGCGGCGUGCUUAACACAUGCAAGUCGAACGAGAAAGGGAUUGCUUGCAAUCCUGAGUAGAGUGGCGCACGGGUGAGUAACACGUAAAUAAUCUACCUUUGAGCCUGGGAUAACUAUUCGAAAGGAUAGCUAAUACCGGAUGAGGUAAUGCAUCGCAGGUUGCAUUAUGAAAGAUUGCCUCUUCUUGAAAGCAAUUGUUUGGAGAUGAGUUUGCGGACCAUUAGUUUGUUGGUGGGGUAAAGGCCUACCAAGACUGCGAUGGUUAGCUGGUCUGAGAGGAUGAUCAGUCACACUGGAACUGGAACACGGUCCAGACUCCUACGGGAGGCAGCAGUGAGGAAUUUUGCGCAAUGGGGGCAACCCUGACGCAGCAACGCCGCGUGAGUGAAGAAGGCCUUUGGGUCGUAAAGCUCUGUCAACUGGGAAGAAAUUACAAUUAUCCAAUAGGUAGUUGUAUUGACGGUACCAGUGGAGGAAGCGCCGGCUAACUCC
Molecule: ribosomal RNA, 500 nt
Filed under: uncultured bacterium
Lineage: Bacteria
Description: bacterial SSU rRNA
Rfam family: Bacterial small subunit ribosomal RNA
Source: RNAcentral